RNAcentral lists this transfer RNA (72 nucleotides) under Bos taurus (domestic cattle). It matches the Rfam family "tRNA". From Rfam's summary of the family: Transfer RNA (tRNA) molecules are approximately 80 nucleotides in length. Their secondary structure includes four short double-helical elements and three loops (D, anti-codon, and T loops). Further hydrogen bonds mediate the characteristic L-shaped molecular structure. tRNAs have two regions of fundamental functional importance: the anti-codon, which is responsible for specific mRNA codon recognition, and the 3' end, to which the tRNAs corresponding amino acid is attached (by aminoacyl-tRNA synthetases). tRNAs cope with the degeneracy of the genetic code in two manners: having more than one tRNA (with a specific anti-codon) for a particular amino acid; and 'wobble' base-pairing, i.e. permitting non-standard base-pairing at the 3rd anti-codon position. The record is from Rfam by way of RNAcentral. Lineage: Eukaryota; Metazoa; Chordata; Mammalia; Artiodactyla; Bovidae. RNAcentral also lists the same sequence under 1 other name.
UCCCCGGUGUCUCAGACGGUAAAGAAUCUUCCUGUAAUGUGGGAGACCCAGGUUCCAUCCCUGGCUUAGGAA